UACUCCUACGGGAGGCAGCAGUGAGGAAUAUUGGUCAAUGGGCGAGAGCCUGAACCAGCCAAGUAGCGUGCGGGAUGAAGGCCCUUGUGGUCGUAAACCGCUUUUAUCAGUGAAUAAAGUGCACCACGUGUGGUGUCAUUGCAGGUAGCUGAAGAAAAAGGACCGGCUAAUUCCGUGCCAGCAGCCGCGGUAAUACGGAAGGUCCGGGCGUUAUCCGGAAUUAUUGGGUUUAAAGGGAGCGCAGGCGGGAGUAUAAGUCAGCUGUUAAAUAUCAGAGCCCAACUCUGUUAUGCAGUUGAAACUAUAUUUCUUGAGUACGCACAGGGAUGGUGGAAUUCAGGGUGUAGCGGUGAAAUGCUUAGAUAUCCUGAAGAACUCCGAUCGCGAAGGCAGCCAUCCGGAGCGUAACUGACGCUGAGGCUCGAAGGUGCGGGUAUCGAACAGGAUUAGAUACCCUGGUAGUCCGCACGGUAAACGAUGAAUACUCGCAGUUCGGCCGUUUAGGUCGAGUUGUCCAGCGAAAGCGUUAAGUAUUCCACCUGGGGAGUACGCCGGCAACGGUGAAACUCAAAGGAAUUGACGGA
RNAcentral lists this ribosomal RNA (584 nucleotides) under uncultured bacterium. RNAcentral describes it as "bacterial SSU rRNA". It matches the Rfam family "Bacterial small subunit ribosomal RNA", at positions 334 to 917 of the family's 1533-position model. The record is from RNAcentral.